AUGGGAACGCGAAGAACCUUACCUACUCUUGACAUCCAGAGAACUUUCCAAAGAUGGAUUGGUGCCUUCGGGAACUCUGAGACAGGUGCUGCAUGGCUGUCGUCAGCUCGUGUUGUGAAAUGUUGGGUUAAGUCCCGCAACGAGCGCAACCCUUAUCCUUUGUUGCCAGCGGUUAGGCCGGGAACUCAAAGGAGACUGCCAGUGAUAAACUGGAGGAAGGUGGGGAUGACGUCAAGUCAUCAUGGCCCUUACGAGUAGGGCUACACACGUGCUACAAUGGCGCAUACAAAGAGAAGCGACCUCGCGAGAGCAAGCGGACCUCAUAAAGUGCGUCGUAGUCCGGAUUGGAGUCUGCAACUCGACUCCAUGAAGUCGGAAUCGCUAGUAAUCGUAGAUCAGAAUGCUACGGUGAAUACGUUCCCGGGUCUUGUACACACCG
RNAcentral lists this ribosomal RNA (439 nucleotides) under uncultured bacterium. RNAcentral's name for it is "bacterial SSU rRNA". It matches the Rfam family "Bacterial small subunit ribosomal RNA", at positions 954 to 1392 of the family's 1533-position model. The record is from RNAcentral.